UGAUAACAAUAUUGGGAUCAGAAAACGCAACAUUAAAGGAACUUCUAAUCGUGGUGAUAUUUUGGGUAGAAAGAGAGGAGGCAUGAUUAAAGAGAGAACAAGAAUUAUAUCAAAUAGAAAAGAGAGAACAAGAAAUUAUCGUUCACGUGAUUCAAUGGGUGGUAAUAUGAUGAAAGAUUUCACAUUCGAGAUUUUGGUGAAA
Trifolium pratense (red clover) is the source of this 202-nucleotide long non-coding RNA. RefSeq lists it as uncharacterized. The record is from RefSeq and is a predicted model, not a curated record. Lineage: Eukaryota; Viridiplantae; Streptophyta; Magnoliopsida; Fabales; Fabaceae. The transcript has 3 exons.